GAGUGCUUCCUUUCCUUCGUGCUGUGCCACCAUGUGGAAUACAGAGCCAAUUUAGAUGGCAAUAUGCGCUGUUUGAUAUGAAGUGCAACACCUGGCACCCAGGACUGCCUUCAGUUCCUGAGGAUGGAGGUUAAGGAGAACAGAGGGCUGCAAAUUACCAACAGCAAAGGGAAGAACUGCAAGCAAUGAAUAACGAGAAGCAAAUAUUUGGUCAGGCACACAAACACAGGC
RNAcentral lists this long non-coding RNA (231 nucleotides) under Gallus gallus (chicken). Lineage: Eukaryota; Metazoa; Chordata; Aves; Galliformes; Phasianidae. The record is from RNAcentral.